Molecule: ribosomal RNA, 460 nt
Filed under: uncultured bacterium
Lineage: Bacteria
Description: partial 16S ribosomal RNA
Rfam family: Bacterial small subunit ribosomal RNA
Source: RNAcentral
CCUACGGGGGGCAGCAGUGAGGAAUAUUGGUCAAUGGGCGCGAGCCUGAACCAGCCAAGUCGCGUGAGGGAGGACGGCCCUACGGGUUGUAAACCUCUUUUGCCGGGGAGCAACGGGCGCCACGUGUGGCGUCACUGAGAGUACCCGGAGAAAACGCAUCGGCUAACUCCGUGCCAGCAGCCGCGGUAAUACGGAGGAUGCGAGCGUUAUCCGGAUUUAUUGGGUUUAAGGGGUGCGUAGGCGGAUUGUUAUGUCAGGGGUAAAAUUGGGGGGCUACACCCCUUCCCGCCAUUGAAACUGGGGUUCUUGAGUGGGAGAGAGGUAUGCGGAAUGCGUGGUGUAGCGGUGAAAUGCAUAGAUAUCACGCAGAACCCCGAUUGCGAAGGCAGCAUGCCGGCUUCCGACUGACGCUGAGGCACGAAAGCGUGGGUAUCGAACAGGAUUAGAUACCCGGGUAGUC